RNAcentral lists this ribosomal RNA (253 nucleotides) under uncultured bacterium. RNAcentral describes it as "partial 16S ribosomal RNA". It matches the Rfam family "Bacterial small subunit ribosomal RNA", at positions 524 to 776 of the family's 1533-position model. The record is from RNAcentral.
UACGGGGGGGGCUAGCGUUGUUCGGAAUUACUGGGCGUAAAGGGCGCGUAGGCGGUCUGCUAAGUUGGAUGUGAAAACUCUGGGCUUAACCCAGAGCCUGCAUUCAAUACUGACAGGCUAGAGUUCUGGAGGGGAUAGCGGAAUUCCUGGUGUAGCGGUGAAAUGCGUAGAUAUCAGGAGGAACACCGGUGGCGAAGGCGGGUCUCUGGGCCGAUACUGACGCUGAGGAGCGAAAGCGUGGGGAGCAAACAGG